UGGAUGUUAAUUUUUGUCUUAGUUGUCUGAAAAAGUUUGGAUGGGUUUGGAAGUCUGUGUAAGUGGAUGAGAGAGUGGGUAGUUGGGAUUGGGUUAAUAGGAGAUUAUACCUAAAAUUGAGGGAUUAUGGGAUUUUUUAUUGUAAUUUUUAAUUUUUAUUAUUUUUCUCCCUCUUCCCAAAUAUUUUCUGACGUCAAUUCUGCUUUCCUCCUCUGUCUGACGUUUUUCUUUUUUCCCUUCUCUGUAUUUUUUGUUUUUGCGGUUCUCCUUUAAUUUUGUUCACCCUUUUUGCUUUCUUCUCAUUGUAAUCCAGAAUUUCAGUGUUUUAUGUGCAGUUGGGUAAGUAGGGAUUUCACUUGUCUGUAGGUUUCGAUUUCUGUAAGUUGUUGGGUUUAUUCUUUUCAUUUGAAUUUCUAAAUGGUGUGAAGUAAGGGAGAUUGAUUUUCUAUGAUGUAUUGAGUAGGAGUAGUUGGUGAACCUGGGAAUUUCGCUCCAACAGCAUAAACCGCAAUAGGGGUAGUUCUUAUCGCGUUAAGUGUGUUUGCGCGAUUCGAUUUUACAAUGUUA
This 567-nucleotide long non-coding RNA is filed under the name Gossypium raimondii (Peruvian cotton). RNAcentral describes it as "long non-coding RNA (GRAI_LNC009066)". Lineage: Eukaryota; Viridiplantae; Streptophyta; Magnoliopsida; Malvales; Malvaceae. The record is from RNAcentral.